RNAcentral lists this ribosomal RNA (839 nucleotides) under Pseudomonas aeruginosa. Its description in RNAcentral is "bacterial SSU rRNA". It matches the Rfam family "Bacterial small subunit ribosomal RNA", at positions 95 to 922 of the family's 1533-position model. The record is from RNAcentral. Lineage: Bacteria; Pseudomonadati; Pseudomonadota; Gammaproteobacteria; Pseudomonadales; Pseudomonadaceae.
GCGGCGGACGGGUGAGUAAUGCCUAGGAAUCUGCCUGGUAGUGGGGGAUAACGUCCGGAAACGGGCGCUAAUACCGCAUACGUCCUGAGGGAGAAAGUGGGGGAUCUUCGGACCUCACGCUAUCAGAUGAGCCUAGGUCGGAUUAGCUAGUUGGUGGGGUAAAGGCCUACCAAGGCGACGAUCCGUAACCGGGUCUGAGAGGAUGAUCAGUCACACUGGAACUGAGACACGGUCCAGACUCCUACGGGAGGCAGCAGUGGGGAAUAUUGGACAAUGGGCGAAAGCCUGAUCCAGCCAUGCCGCGUGUGUGAAGAAGGUCUUCGGAUUGUAAAGCACUUUAAGUUGGGAGGAAGGGCAGUAAGUUAAUACCUUGCUGUUUUGACCGUUCCCACCAGAAUAAGCACCGGCUAACUUCGUGCCAGCAGCCGCGGUAAUACGAAGGGUGCAGCAAGCGUUAAUCGGAAUUACUGGGCGUAAAGCGCGCGUAGGUGGUUCAGCAAGUUGGAUGUGAAAUCCCCGGGCUCAACCUGGGAACUGCAUCCAAAACUACUGAGCUAGAGUACGGUAGAAGGGGGGUGGAAUUUCCUGUGUAGCGGUGAAAUGCGUAGAUAUAGGAAGGAACACCAGUGGCGAAGGCGACCACCUGGACUGAUACUGACACUGAUGGUGCGAAAGCGUGGGGAGCAAACAGGAUUAGAUACCCUGGUAGUCCACGCCGUAAACGAUGUCAACUAACCGUUGGGAUCCUUGAGAUCUUAAUGGCGCAGCUAACGCGAUAAAUCAACCCCCUGCGGAAUACCGCCGCAAGGUUAAAACUCCAAUGAAUUUAACCGGGGGCC